Molecule: ribosomal RNA, 301 nt
Filed under: uncultured bacterium
Lineage: Bacteria
Description: partial 16S ribosomal RNA
Rfam family: Bacterial small subunit ribosomal RNA
Source: RNAcentral
CAGCCGCCGCGGGAAUACGAAGGGUGCAAGCGUUAAUCGGAAUUACUGGGCGUAAAGCGUGCGUAGGCGGUGAGUUAAGUCUGCUGUGAAAUCCCCGGGCUCAACCUGGGAAUGGCAGUGGAUACUGGCUCGCUAGAGUGUGUCAGAGGAUGGUGGAAUUCCCGGUGUAGCGGUGAAAUGCGUAGAGAUCGGGAGGAACAUCAGUGGCGAAGGCGGCCAUCUGGGACAACACUGACGCUGAGGCACGAAAGCGUGGGGAGCAAACAGGGUUAGAUACCCCCGUAGUCCCUGUCUCUUAUAC